This 433-nucleotide ribosomal RNA is filed under the name uncultured Mycoplasma sp. RNAcentral describes it as "bacterial SSU rRNA". It matches the Rfam family "Bacterial small subunit ribosomal RNA", at positions 108 to 531 of the family's 1533-position model. The record is from RNAcentral. Lineage: Bacteria; Bacillati; Mycoplasmatota; Mollicutes; Mycoplasmatales; Mycoplasmataceae.
GAGUAAUACAUAUUUAACUUACUUCCGCGAGUAGGAUAGCAGCCCGAAAGGGCUAUUAAUACUACAUAGGUUUAUGGACUUGUAAAUUAAAGGAGGCGCCCUCGGGAGCCUCGCGCGGAAAAGGGAAUAUGUCCUAUUAGGUAGUUGGCGGGGUAAAGGCCCACCAAGCCAAUGAUGGGUAGCUGGACUGAGAGGUUGAACAGCCGCAAUGGGAUUGAGAUAUGGCCCAUAUUCCUACGGGAAGCAACAGUGAGGAAUUUUUCACAAUGGACGAAAGUCUGAUGGAGCAAUACCACGUGAACGAUGAAGGUCUUCUGAUUGUAAAGUUCUUUUAUUUAGGAAAAAAACCGCGCUAGGAAAUGAGCGCGCCUUGAUGGUACUAAUUGAAUAAGUGACAGCUAACUAUGUGCCAGCAGCUGCGGUAAAACAUAGG